This 253-nucleotide ribosomal RNA is filed under the name uncultured bacterium. RNAcentral describes it as "partial 16S ribosomal RNA". It matches the Rfam family "Bacterial small subunit ribosomal RNA", at positions 524 to 776 of the family's 1533-position model. The record is from RNAcentral.
UACGAAGGGUGCAAGCGUUACUCGGAAUUACUGGGCGUAAAGCGUGCGUAGGUGGUUUGUUAAGUCUGUUGCGAAAGCCCCGGGCUCAACCUGGGAAUGGCAAUGGAUACUGGCAGGCUAGAGUGCGGUAGAGGGUAGUGGAAUUCCCGGUGUAGAGGUGAAAUUCGUAGAUAUUGGGAAGAACACCGGUGGCGAAGGCGGCUCACUGGACCGAUACUGACGCUGAGGCGCGAAAGCGUGGGGAGCAAACAGG